Long non-coding RNA from Mustela erminea (ermine), 930 nucleotides. RefSeq lists it as uncharacterized. The record is from RefSeq and is a predicted model, not a curated record. The transcript is spliced from 4 exons. NCBI's taxonomy places the organism in Eukaryota, Metazoa, Chordata, Mammalia, Carnivora, Mustelidae.
CCACGCGGGACCAGAGGCGGCAGCGCCGUCCGGAGUCAGCGCGGCCGCAGCGCGGAGCUUCCUUAAGGCAGAUACAAAUAAUGAAACUGCAGAUGCCUGUGCUGAAUCCCAACAGCCGAGGAGUCUACCCAUAUGAAGAUGGAGGCCCAAAGUCAGAUUAAAAAAAGAAACAAACAAACCACCAUGGCCCGUAAAUCUGCCCUCUUUCUAUGGCAGCCCAGUGGAGACAGCUCUGGAAGGCAUAUCUGAAGCAAGGUGCUGGCUGGUUCUUAUUUUCAUUUUUGAUAGUGCAGAAAAUAUGGCAUUUCUUUCCUCCUGGUUCUAGUCUGCACAAAGUCCCAGUCCUGGGCCAGGCACACAGUAGGCCCAUAGAAGGUAGUGGAGAAAUGAGUCUGAGGUAUUGUAAUAUUCCUUCAGGAGCACAUUCGUACUGUACUUCUUCUAUUUAACUAUGUUAAGCGCCUGCACACACACACACACACACACACAGCUCCCCUCUUUGGGGAUGGGAAUGACUUUUAUUCUGUAAAAAGGUUUGGUAGAUCAAGGGGUGAGGUGGGAGUGCCUGUGUGCAGGGUACCGGACACCCUGCCCGUUUAGGGUCCUGAGUCAAGAGUAGGGCCCAGCCUCUGCCACCCGUUGUUCCCACACCUCCUGCCUGUUGCCUGGGCAUCAAGAGAGGGGACCUAUUACUGGGGGCCAGCUGCCAAAGCCAGGCGGGAUCCAGGGGAGAGGUUAAGGUCCGGGGAGAGGCGGCUAUUGAUCCGGCGUGGAACGCGAGACAGAGAGCGCAGCAAGACUAAAGGGGGAGCUGUGAGACCAGACAUUAACAGCUUUCAGCGCUAAUGAUGCCCGUGCCAGACGGGCUGAGGGAAAAAAAGGAGACUGGAGCGGCAGCUGGGAUUGCUCGCUGCCUGCACCCGGCCAGCU